Molecule: ribosomal RNA, 465 nt
Filed under: Vreelandella stevensii
Lineage: Bacteria; Pseudomonadati; Pseudomonadota; Gammaproteobacteria; Oceanospirillales; Halomonadaceae
Description: partial 16S ribosomal RNA
Rfam family: Bacterial small subunit ribosomal RNA
Source: RNAcentral
CCUACGGGAGGCUGCAGUGGGGAAUAUUGGACAAUGGGGGCAACCCUGAUCCAGCCAUGCCGCGUGUGUGAAGAAGGCCCUCGGGUUGUAAAGCACUUUCAGUGAGGAAGAACGCCUUGUGGUUAAUACCCAUCAGGAAAGACAUCACUCACAGAAGAAGCACCGGCUAACUCCGUGCCAGCAGCCGCGGUAAUACGGAGGGUGCGAGCGUUAAUCGGAAUUACUGGGCGUAAAGCGCGCGUAGGUGGCUUGAUAAGCCGGUUGUGAAAGCCCCGGGCUCAACCUGGGAACGGCAUCCGGAACUGUCAAGCUAGAGUGCAGGAGAGGAAGGUAGAAUUCCCGGUGUAGCGGUGAAAUGCGUAGAGAUCGGGAGGAAUACCAGUGGCGAAGGCGGCCUUCUGGACUGACACUGACACUGAGGUGCGAAAGCGUGGGUAGCAAACAGGAUUAGAUACCCCAGUAGUC